CCUACGGGUGGCAGCAGUAGGGAAUUUUCGGCAAUGGGGGGAACCCUGACCGAGCAACGCCGCGUGAACGAAGAAGUAUCUCGGUACGUAAAGCUCUAUCAGCAGGGAAGAAAAUGACGGUACCUGACUAAGAAGCCCCGGCUAACUACGUGCCAGCAGCCGCGGUAAUACGUAGGGGGCAAGCGGUAUCCGGAUUUACUGGGUGUAAAGGGAGCGUAGACGGCAGCACAAGUCUGGAGUGAAAUCCCGGGGCUUAACCCCGGAACUGCUUUGGAAAUUGGGCGGCUGGAGUGCAGGAGGGGUAAGCGGAAUUCCUGGUGUAGCGGUGAAAUGCGUAGAUAUUAGGAGGAACACCGGUGGCGAAGGCGGCUUACUGGAGUGUAACUGACGUUGAGGCUCGAAAGCGUGGGGAGCAAACAGGAUUAGAUACCCGGGUAGUC
This 440-nucleotide ribosomal RNA is filed under the name uncultured bacterium. RNAcentral describes it as "partial 16S ribosomal RNA". It matches the Rfam family "Bacterial small subunit ribosomal RNA", at positions 338 to 795 of the family's 1533-position model. The record is from RNAcentral.